AGUGAACGCUGGCGGUAGGCCUAACACAUGCAAGUCGAACGGCAGCACAGGAGAGCUUGCUCUCUGGGUGGCGAGUGGCGGACGGGUGAGGAAUACAUCGGAAUCUACCUUUUCGUGGGGGAUAACGUAGGGAAACUUACGCUAAUACCGCAUACGACCUACGGGUGAAAGUGGGGGACCGCAAGGCCUCACGCGAUUAGAUGAGCCGAUGUCCGAUUAGCUAGUUGGCGGGGUAAUAGCCCACCAAGGCGACGAUCGGUAGCUGGUCUGAGAGGAUGAUCAGCCACACUGGAACUGAGACACGGUCCAGACUCCUACGGGAGGCAGCAGUGGGGAAUAUUGGACAAUGGGCGCAAGCCUGAUCCAGCCAUACCGCGUGGGUGAAGAAGGCCUCGGUUGUAAAGCCUUUCGUUGGUAAGGAAAUACCUAUCGGUUAAUAACCGUGGGAGUGACGGUACCAACGAAUAAGACACCGGCUAACUACGUGCCAGCAGCCGCGGUAAUAGACGUA
This 511-nucleotide ribosomal RNA is filed under the name uncultured bacterium. RNAcentral's name for it is "bacterial SSU rRNA". It matches the Rfam family "Bacterial small subunit ribosomal RNA", at positions 29 to 529 of the family's 1533-position model. The record is from RNAcentral.